RNAcentral lists this transfer RNA (75 nucleotides) under Candidatus Gottesmanbacteria bacterium RIFCSPHIGHO2_01_FULL_40_15. Its description in RNAcentral is "tRNA-Lys". It matches the Rfam family "tRNA". Rfam says of the family: Transfer RNA (tRNA) molecules are approximately 80 nucleotides in length. Their secondary structure includes four short double-helical elements and three loops (D, anti-codon, and T loops). Further hydrogen bonds mediate the characteristic L-shaped molecular structure. tRNAs have two regions of fundamental functional importance: the anti-codon, which is responsible for specific mRNA codon recognition, and the 3' end, to which the tRNAs corresponding amino acid is attached (by aminoacyl-tRNA synthetases). tRNAs cope with the degeneracy of the genetic code in two manners: having more than one tRNA (with a specific anti-codon) for a particular amino acid; and 'wobble' base-pairing, i.e. permitting non-standard base-pairing at the 3rd anti-codon position. The record is from RNAcentral. Lineage: Bacteria; Candidatus Gottesmaniibacteriota. RNAcentral also lists the same sequence under 4 other names.
GGGCCCGUAGCUCAAUGGUAGAGCAGCAGCCUUUUAAGCUGUUGGUUGAGCGUUCGAAUCGCUCCGGGCUCACAA